Molecule: ribosomal RNA, 449 nt
Filed under: uncultured bacterium
Lineage: Bacteria
Description: partial 16S ribosomal RNA
Rfam family: Bacterial small subunit ribosomal RNA
Source: RNAcentral
AAUGAACGCUGGCGGCAGGCCUAACACAUACAAGUCGAACGGAUCCUUCGGGAUUAGUGGCGGACGGGAGAGUAACGCGUGGGAACAUACCCUUUGGUACGGAAUAGCCUCGGGACACUGGGCGUAAUACCGUAUGUCGUCGAGAGACGAAAGAUUUAUCGGCACAGGAUUGGACCGCGUUUGAUUAGGUAGUGGGUGGGGUAAUGGCCUACCAAGCCGACGACGCCUAGCUGGGUUGAGAGGGAGAUCAGCCACAAUGGGACUGAGACACGGCCCAGACUCCUACGGGAGGCAGCAGUGGGGAAUCUUGGAAAAUGGGGGAAACUCUGAUCUAGCGAUGCCGCGUGAUGGAUGAAGGCCUUAGGGUUGUAAAGAUCUUUCAGGUGGGAAGAGAAUGACGGUACCACAAGAAGAAGCCCCGGCUAACUCCGUGCCAGCCGCCGCCGUAA